GACGAACGCUGGCGGCGUGCUUAACACAUGCAAGUCGAACGGAAAGGCCCUGCUUGCAGGGUACUCGAGUGGCGAACGGGUGAGUAACACGUGGGUGAUCUGCCCUGCACUUCGGGAUAAGCCUGGGAAACUGGGUCUAAUACCGGAUAGGAGCCAUUUUUAGUGUGAUUGUUGGAAAGUUUUUUCGGUGUAGGAUGAGCUCGCGGCCUAUCAGCUUGUUGGUGGGGUAAUGGCCUACCAAGGCGGCGACGGGUAGCCGGCCUGAGAGGGUGGACGGCCACAUUGGGACUGGGAUACGGCCCAGACUCCUACGGGAGGCAGCAGUGGGGAAUAUUGCACAAUGGGCGCAAGCCUGAUGCAGCGACGCCGCGUGGGGGAUGACGGCCUUCGGGUUGUAAACUCCUUUCGCUAGGGACGAAGCUUUUUGUGACGGUACCUAGAUAAGAAGCACCGGCUAACUACGUG
RNAcentral lists this ribosomal RNA (465 nucleotides) under uncultured bacterium. Its description in RNAcentral is "partial 16S ribosomal RNA". It matches the Rfam family "Bacterial small subunit ribosomal RNA", at positions 28 to 507 of the family's 1533-position model. The record is from RNAcentral.